This 88-nucleotide non-coding RNA is filed under the name unclassified sequences. The record is from RNAcentral.
AUAUGACUGCCACCGGGUAGCAAACACCAAGUACUUUUUCCAAUCCCAUUAGGUCAUUGAAGGGAUUGUGAAGGGGUACUUUUUUGGU